RNAcentral lists this ribosomal RNA (381 nucleotides) under Triticum aestivum (bread wheat). Its description in RNAcentral is "partial small subunit ribosomal RNA". Lineage: Eukaryota; Viridiplantae; Streptophyta; Magnoliopsida; Poales; Poaceae. The record is from RNAcentral.
AUGUCUCUAAUCCGAAUAGCUUUUUCUUUGGUCCUCCUCCUCGCCGCGGCGGAGUCCGCGGCGGCGACGCGUUCACCGUCGGCCUUCGUGCAGAACGCUAUCUACUCCAACCGCAUCACCAUCUUCUCCAAAUCCUACUGCCCGUACUGUAUGCGUGCUAAGCGAAUAUUUAAAGACCUCAAUGAAGAUCCUUACGUUGUUGAACUUGAUCUCCGAGAGGAUGGCCGAGAAAUUCAAGGUGUUCUUCUAGACCUAGUUGGGCGCAAUACUGUGCCACAGGUGUUUGUGUAUGGCCACCACGUUGGUGGCUCAGAUGAUACAAAAACUGCUCUUUCAGACGGACAACUUCAGAAGCUUCUUGGUAAGAGUCAGUCGCAGUGA